Molecule: non-coding RNA, 111 nt
Organism: Acanthosepion pharaonis
Lineage: Eukaryota; Metazoa; Mollusca; Cephalopoda; Sepiida; Sepiidae
Source: the annotation of a GenBank genome assembly
UGGCAAUAUCACGUUAAAACACCAGUCGCCGUCCGAUUACCGAAGUUAAGCAACAUCGAGCCUGGUCAUUACUUAGAUAGGUAACCGUUCGGGAAUAUCAGGUUCUGUAAG